This is a long non-coding RNA of Patella vulgata (common limpet), 3591 nucleotides long. RefSeq lists it as uncharacterized. The transcript is spliced from 7 exons. Lineage: Eukaryota; Metazoa; Mollusca; Gastropoda; Patellidae. The record is from RefSeq and is a predicted model, not a curated record.
GCUGAUAAUAUUGUGCCGUAUGACCUUAGCCAACAUAUGACGUUUCUCACGUUUAAGCCUUUCCAGAUUUAACUUGCUGUACGUAUAAAUUCUUUUACCUGCGGUUCAUCCUGUGGAUUUUUCUAAAGAGAACCGCCACACACUCAUUAUGGAAGUAAUUGUUUUAUUACUAGCUGUCUCUGUAAUAAGUACUCUCACCGGUGCAUCACUCACACUUCCUCCAACAACACCAAGUCCACCAACAACACCUGUUCCGCCAACAACCCCAGGUCCUCCCACAACUACUUCAGAAUGUAUUUCUGGUGAGAGUAAAUCGGAGAAUUGUUUCGCAUAUUUCUGUUAUGAAGGAAGGUGGGAACAAUUCGAAUUUAUAGCCACUGUAGAAUGUUGUAAUACAAAACCAGAUUUUCCUCGUUGUAUAAUGAUUUUCCCCGAAUUAUUUGGAUCGACAACCCCUCCCCCAACAUCACCACCACCACCACCUACAACCACUUCACAGUGUUCUUCCGGUGAUGGCAAAAUAGAGAAUUGUUACAUAUAUACCUGUUCUGGAGGAAUGUGGCAAAGAUUUGAAUUCACUGCAACAAUACCAUGUUGUCAGCAACAGCUACAUCCUAAAUGCUUCACAUUAUUUCCUGGUGUUUUUGAUACUAGUACUACUACAAUCCCCCUAACAACUACAACAACUACAACAACAACAGCGACUAAGGCACCAGCAAUUAUUGCUGCUGCAAGAGAACCAAUAUAUGAAUGUAAAUCUGAGAAAGAGCAGAUGAUUAGAGAUUGUAUUGUAUAUGUCUGUGUUAAAUACAGAUGGCAGAAAUAUCAGUAUGCAGUAACUAAAGAGUGCUGUCAUAGGUAUCCUGAACAAAGAGGAUGUAGCAAACUAUUAUCAGCCUGAAAAGUGUAUCCAACAUGAAUCCAGUAGAUAAUGAAAAGAACAAAAUCCGAGACUUCUGCUGUUUUUCUUCAAGAUAAAUAAAAAAAAAAACAAAAAAAAAAACAAUUUAUCAGGUUUCAGCCUAUUACUGACCAACUAUCUGUACAGUUGGAUUCCUGGCUAUUAUUAAAUUCGAUAUACGUGCUACGUUACGGACUUUAGGUUUUGUUUUCUAAUAGUUAAACCGUAUUGUUCAACACCCGUGUUUACAUAUCUUACAUACAAAUCUAUUUUAUAAAGUACAACAAAGUACCUAUAUAUGUAUAUUAUAAUCUAUAGCCUAGAAUCUUCUGAAACACCAGACAUGUCUGAUGCUGAUGUCCCUAAGCGUGCAUAUUUCUUUGAAAUGAUGGGAACGCACAUAGUUGAGGCACCACUGACUUGAUUUGACAGUCGCUGCAAAGACUUUACCCGGGAUUCAAACAAAAUGUACUAAUAUGGAAACCGCGUGGCCAUCUUUCUAAGAAUUAGUUCGGAGGGGAGGGAGUCUUUCGUGACUAAUGGUGGGUACCAAAACUAUGACCAAACCAGUUCAUAUCCAGAACGCCUGCUUAACCCAAAUUUUUUUUUGCAAUCCCGAUAGAUCACUCAAAUCCAUGAAGGUAAUGGUCUUAAGCUAUUACAACAUUAUGGCAUUUACUUACCACAAAUCGCCCAUUUGAAUGUAAUGGCCCCAAUACAUUGGACCCAAUGCAAUGUGGAACAAUAUAGUCUUAGGUUUGAUAACCUAAUGGUAUUAUAAAUUAGCAAAUAAGCCAGUAAAUUUAGUUUUAAGGAUUAAAUUAGUGUAAAAUGGACAUUAACUACACCAGGAAGGUUCUAAAGGGGUUAUAUUUACGCGCGUCAUAGAGUUACUAAAGUUUCUUUGAUUAACCAGGCCCUAAAGGGCAGAAUAACGAUAAAAACGGCUACAAAUACCACGUUCGUGUGGUGAUAUUUGGGGUGUUGGUAUCAGCUAAUGCCAGCUUCUGUUUCAUGAUAAUAGCUACAAUAUCGAGGAAUAGCACAUUAGAUAGCGAGUAUUUCAAUGUACAUACGUUAUGCCUAUGUUCUACCUUUAGUUAAAAACUUGCAUUGACUUUUCCCAUUGUCCAAUCCUUCUCGAAUAUAUAAGAUAUUAUUAAAACAUUGCUGUGAAUUUAUCACGUUACAUCUUAAAAUUUUAGUUCGAAACAUGUUAGUUAACCACUAAUAUUCUGAUCUGUAACAUACACUUCACACCAGUGUCCAUUGUACACGUGGUACAUAGAACAAUAACCGUAUGUUAGUUUCAAAAUGUGUGUUGUUUAAGAGAUUUUAAUUUACUUCUGGUUUGGGACUGCAUCGGGGUAAAGGAAAACAGCAAGUCAAGAUCACAGACCGGACUAUAUACACGUUCCAUUGCUGUACGGUGUAAUAUACAAGGAAUAGUCUGGCCAGCUAAUUCGAUUGCACUGCCCUGGAAAAAUGUUCUCAAGCGAAUGCAAAAUAUGAUAUUUGUAUACUCUGUGGGGAUCUGCGGAGACCGUAUAUUUAGUUGAAAGGUUUAAUCUAAGCUUUAUAGCGCAGAUGUUGUUUACUUGAAUUGAAUGGUGGCCAUUUUAUACAGGUAAAGUUUAUAAUGUCAUCAUGACUGAAUCUCAGACACCACACCAUCGCCAUUACAUUACAUAAGACACAUUUUAUUCCUCUUUCAAGGUGUUAAAUGAAAGGAUUAUCAUUAGACAAAGAUUAGAUAUUGACACCGGCUUUAUUUCUCCAGUUAGUCGAGGCACAUCAAAAGACAAGCAACAAAUUGUGACUCCCCGAGUCUUCUAUUUCGCCAUUGACCACUCACGUGCGACUAAAUAUUAUAGUAUACAUGUCACCAACAGCCUAUUGUUGCUGUAAGAGUGUGUGAGUGCAUAGCUUGUAUUUCUAUCUGAUAUAAGGUGCUAGUUGCCUCCCUUUUUUCUACCCUUUUUUUCUCAUUCUUUAUUUUGUCUUUUUUAUCGGUUUAUCAGAGACGCACAGUGAUUAUUUUGUUUAGUUAUCGAAAAUGUACCUGGAGGUAUAGAAUAAUUUAUGUGGCUUUCACGUAGCCUUAAUUGCUGGGGAUAUAAUAAGGAUUAAAAUCAACACUGGAAUAAAGAUGGCGAUAUUCUGGUUUAAAAUGUCUAUUGUUGUAUUGUUCAUCAGUGACGUGUCAUCACAUCUUGUCACUGAUUGGGCGACAUAUUGUGGAGGUAAAAUUGGUCUAUUCCGCCAUCCUGAGUUAUGUGAUAGAUAUAUAGCGUGUUCUCCAUCUCAUCUAUAUAUUGGUAUGUGUCCAGAAGGUCUUCAUUUUAACAUCAAACACAACGUGUGUGAUUGGCCUUAUAAAGCGGACUGCAAAAUACAAAAGCAAUCUAAUAACUGUCCUGAUCUAAUCAUCUGCAAAAACCACGUGAAAUAUUUUCAGUUUCCUGAUUGGUCAGACUGUAGCAAAUUCUACGUUUGUACAUAUGGAGUUUUGAAGAAGAAUUCCUGUCCAAUGGGGAUGCAUUAUGAUUUCAUAAAUUGGACAUGCACGUUCGCUAGUACGUCCACGUGCUACGAACCUUAAAUGUGUUUUUGAAACGAAAUCAAGGAAAGAAAGACGUUUACAAAACAUGUUAUAUCAAUUUUUAUGAAUAAAUAUUUGAUGUAAUAUA